UACGAAGGGGGCUAGCGUUGUUCGGAAUUACUGGGCGUAAAGGGCGCGUAGGCGGCCGUGCAAGUCAGAUGUGAAAGCCCUGGGCUCAACCCAGGAUGUGCAUUUGAUACUGCAUGGCUAGAGUGUCGGAGAGGAUGGUGGAAUUCCCAGUGUAGAGGUGAAAUUCGUAGAUAUUGGGAAGAACACCGGUGGCGAAGGCGACCAUCUGGACGACAACUGACGCUGAGGCGCGAAAGCGUGGGGAG
RNAcentral lists this ribosomal RNA (245 nucleotides) under uncultured bacterium. RNAcentral describes it as "partial 16S ribosomal RNA". It matches the Rfam family "Bacterial small subunit ribosomal RNA", at positions 524 to 768 of the family's 1533-position model. The record is from RNAcentral.